GCGUGGUAGUUCAAUGGUAGAGCAUGUGCUUAGCAUGCAUGGGACCCUGGAUUCAAUCCCCAGGAAGCCACCCA
This 74-nucleotide transfer RNA is filed under the name Marmota monax (woodchuck). RNAcentral's name for it is "tRNA.Ala". Lineage: Eukaryota; Metazoa; Chordata; Mammalia; Rodentia; Sciuridae. The record is from RNAcentral.